ACGGGAGGCAGCAGUGGGGAAUAUUGGACAAUGGGGGAAACCCUGACCCAGCGACGCCGCGUGAGUGAAGAAGUAUUUCGGUAUGUAAAGCUCUAUCAGUAGGGAAGAUAAUGACGGUACCUAACUAAGAAGCUCCGGCUAAAUACGUGCCAGCAGCCGCGGUAAUACGUAUGGAGCAAGCGUUAUCCGGAUUUACUGGGUGUAAAGGGAGCGUAGACGGCAUGGCAAGUCUGAUGUGAAAUCCCCGGGCUCAACCCGGGAACUGCAUUGGAAACUGUUAAGCUAGAGUGCAGGAGAGGUAAGUGGAAUUCCUAGUGUAGCGGUGAAAUGCGUAGAUAUUAGGAGGAACACCAGUGGCGAAGGCGGCUUACUGGACUGUAACUGACGUUGAGGCUCGAAAGCGUGGGGAGCAAACAGGAUUAGAUACCCUGGUA
This 434-nucleotide ribosomal RNA is filed under the name uncultured Lachnospiraceae bacterium. Its description in RNAcentral is "partial 16S ribosomal RNA". It matches the Rfam family "Bacterial small subunit ribosomal RNA", at positions 341 to 792 of the family's 1533-position model. The record is from RNAcentral. Lineage: Bacteria; Bacillati; Bacillota; Clostridia; Lachnospirales; Lachnospiraceae.